GUAAAGACUGUGAAGAGGACGAGUACAUCUCGUAUAAACGGCACAGAGAGCAGGAGAAGGUGAGAACCUGUCCGAAUGACGAUUUGGAAUGGACCUCGGAGUUGUAGGGUGAACGUCAAUAAAGACUACUAACCCGUGCCGGAGUUGCCACCGUUAUCAAGGUAAAGGAUAUAAUAAGUCAACCAGUUCCGGUUGCCGUAUCCGAAAAGAGUGAGGCUGGCUUUUCCACCAAUGAGUGCAUCAUCGGUGGAAUUUUUUGUUAAGCGGCCUAAUCAGAGUGGUACCACGGACUUAAAGGCGUUCGUCUCUGCG
Molecule: non-coding RNA, 312 nt
Filed under: Chloroflexota bacterium
Lineage: Bacteria; Bacillati; Chloroflexota
Description: Chloroflexi bacterium T-box sequence
Rfam family: T-box leader
About the family: Uncharged tRNA acts as the effector for transcription antitermination of genes in the T-box leader family.
Source: RNAcentral